This 764-nucleotide ribosomal RNA is filed under the name uncultured Xanthomonas sp. RNAcentral's name for it is "bacterial SSU rRNA". It matches the Rfam family "Bacterial small subunit ribosomal RNA", at positions 1 to 760 of the family's 1533-position model. Lineage: Bacteria; Pseudomonadati; Pseudomonadota; Gammaproteobacteria; Lysobacterales; Lysobacteraceae. The record is from RNAcentral.
UAGAGUUUGAUCCUGGCUCAGAGUGAACGCUGGCGGUAGGCCUAACACAUGCAAGUCGAACGGCAGCACAGGAGAGCUUGCUCUCUGGGUGGCGAGUGGCGGACGGGUGAGGAAUACAUCGGAAUCUACUUUUUCGUGGGGGAUAACGUAGGGAAACUUACGCUAAUACCGCAUACGACCUACGGGUGAAAGCAGGGGAUCUUCGGACCUUGCGCGAUUGAAUGAGCCGAUGUCGGAUUAGCUAGUUGGCGGGGUAAAGGCCCACCAAGGCGACGAUCCGUAGCUGGUCUGAGAGGAUGAUCAGCCACACUGGAACUGAGACAUGGUCCAGACUCCUACGGGAGGCAGCAGUGGGGAAUAUUGGACAAUGGGCGCAAGCCUGAUCCAGCCAUACCGCGUGGGUGAAGAAGGCCUUCGGGUUGUAAAGCCCUUUUGUUGGGAAAGAAAUCCAGCUGGCUAAUACCCGGUUGGGAUGACGGUACCCAAAGAAUAAGCACCGGCUAACUUCGUGCCAGCAGCCGCGGUAAUACGAAGGGUGCAAGCGUUACUCGGAAUUACUGGGCGUAAAGCGUGCGUAGGUGGUCGUUUAAGUCCGUUGUGAAAGCCCUGGGCUCAACCUGGGAACUGCAGUGGAUACUGGGCGACUAGAAUGUGGUAGAGGGUAGCGGAAUUCCUGGUGUAGCAGUGAAAUGCGUAGAGAUCAGGAGGAACAUCCAUGGCGAAGGCAGCUACCUGGACCAACAUUGACACUGAGGCACGAAAGC